UUUUUUUUUCAGUUUGGCAUCCUAGUUUUGUGUCUGAUCGUCUGAAUUUAAAUGCAAAUCGUCCGGCGAUCAGGUGUUCCACUCCACGGGGCCAGUUUAUAUGUGCAUGCGUAAUCCCAUGUUUUGCCAAUAUAUCACAAUCAUUUGAGAACUAAAGUCCAGUUACUGUCAAAAAAAAAAACUAUAUGAUGUUUUGCCUUACUGAGUACUGUAGCUCUGCUACUUCACUGCUGCAUCCUAGAUAGAUGGACAACUAACUUUGAGUUUGAGGACUGCAUUUUGAUUCAUUCCUCAAUCAUAAUUUCUUCUUUCGGCAGCACCUGUUGGUGCUAUGCACAAUACUAACAGGAUCUUCCCAGAGGAGGGGUUCCGGUUCUGUAACUCGGCAAAUAUUGUCUCGGUCAGUAUCGUUUCCUCCGACUAUGGAUACCCGCUCAAUGUCUACGGCACCAUCAUAGCCAGGGACAGUCUGGAUCGCCAACGCAUCUAUUUAUUCCAGCGUGCCAAGGACGAUUGCCAGAACAUCAGCUCCAAGGUAUUAUUGCUUUUAACUCCGACUGAUAAAUUCCAACCGCUUUUUCCAUUUUAACGCAGAGCUAAGUAAACACCAUGUUUAUUCAAAUUACUUCCUUUUGUAGAAUGAUGUGUUGGUUUUGACUGGCCCGAAGAGAGGACUGAUGAUAUGUGAUUCAAUAAUCUUUGAAGUUGAUCUGAAGGUCAAGGAUGUGAAUGGUAGAAAGGUGAAGGACGAGAGAGUUAGCAAAGGCUUAAUGGAGAUUAAUGGCAUCAAAAGACUCUCAUAUCCACCGAAAUACCAGGUUCAAACGGAAAAACUUGUCAGCAUGCACAGCACAUUGGAUUUGAACUACACGUUUGUAAGGAAUGCGGUGGAGGGCACCGUUGAGGCGAGGAUGAUCCUUGAGGAGGGACCUGUUGAUUAUUUCCAUGGGAAAAUCGUCGCUCACACUAGCAGCUUUCCAUGUGACAUUAUGCUACAUGAUAGCGAACUUGCUGGGAUGCUAACAGCCGGUGAAGGUGGAAUCCUGCAAACAGCACGCCGCGUGGUCAGCGUCUCUAUUGAUGAGACGCUCCUGUUGACCGUUGCCGCUGCUACCAGUGGUGUCGGCACUGUUGAGUUUACUCCAAAGCGUGGCAGCUAUGAUGAAGAGAAAAUCACUUGCGGCGACUAUAAGAUGCUGGUGAAGGUCACUUGGUCCAUUGUGUGCUGGUGAAGGUCACCUGGUCCAUUGUGCAUCGCUGAUUCCGUGCAUUCCUGGUUGAACAUGCUAUAUCCAAAUUAAGAUGUGUGUGCUCUGUAUAUGCUGUCGUACUAAAUAGGUCUAUGCUUUUGGUGGAAGCUUCAUUAUCACUGUUUGUUUGUUACCACUCUGUUCGUUACAACUGAGUGGGAUAGGAAUUAUAUGUAUAUCCGGCAUGAGCUUUGAAGUAGGAGGAACAGACAAAGUGUAUGUGCAUCACUUUGAUUUUGUUUCAGCACUCGAGUCUUAUAUAUAUGUGCACUCGCGCUAUUCGUCACCCCUUAUUCCUCACCCCAGCCUGCCCAUGCAUCUACAGCCACGCAUGGCACACUGUAAGGUAAAAUUACAUUGUGGAGGAAGGAGCAUGUCCGACUAAAACUACCGUAAGUAAAAAGGCUUUGAAGGUGAUUUUACAAGAUGCAUGGAGGUAAGUUACAUAUCGUGCAUGCGAGCAACCCAUCCGGUUUUGCUUUGUUUUGCGUGCUACGUAAUUUUACUGUGGAUAGACUACUCAAAUUACCACUGUCUAUAAGAUGUCUACCGCAUCUUCCUCUAUCAUCUGUCAACUUCUUUUAACAAAAAAAUCUCCCAGCCAACUCCGAAGAAAUGAUGAUAGAGUGCAGUACGAAGAGAGAGGCAAGAUGCUUCUCCAGGUUGCCAUCGUCCAGCCCGUCGCUCGGCCGGCGGCAGGAUGCUUCUCCGGGUAGUCGUCCACCGUGUCGCUCGGCCAGCUGAUCCAUAGAGAGCGCCGCCAGCUUAGCAUGUGCAUGGAUACAACACACACUAAUUCUACAAACAAGAACGUAGGAAAUUUGAUGCGAAAAAACGUUGUUUCUAGAUAAAUUUCAACAAACAGAAAUAAAGCUAUGUUUUUAUAAUAGCAUGACCAAUUAAAAUGUGGUCAAAUGAAAUUUAAGAAAAAUAGGAAAGAGCAUACCCUUCAACAAAGGAAAGUUGGUGUAUCAGCACAAAAUAGUGCUACUAAUACAUAUCAAGGUUGCUACAAGUUCAACUGUGCAGUGAGCUUGCCCAUCCAGAAGUAUUGGCUAAUUACAUGCUAUAUACCUGCCGAAGAACACUGACUGUAAAUUGAAACUCAAAUUUUGUAUAAACUUACUAAGAAAAGAAAAACAAAACAACUACUUGCACUGAUAAGUACUAAAAACAAAAUGCAUUUUCUUACUAGCCCUAAAAUUCAAUUUCAAACGACGCAUAAAUUAAUCUCUCGUACACAAUUGUUUCUGUGAAUACAACAAUCAAACACAUAGAUGAAUCUAUAUAGAGAGGUGCCCAAACAAAGAAUGAGGCGGAUAAAGUUAAAACAGGAUUUGAUCAACAUACUUGUAUUUAAGGUAUGAGCUGGUAGUCUGUAACAGAGCUACACCCUGCAGCGGGGAAUUUAUUGGGCCAGGUGAAUAAUUCUGUAGUUUAGAUCCAACUCUUCAGAUAUCGGGAAUCUACAUCAGAAAAUUGGGGAAGUUACGAACACUAACAAAUCCAUGUUGCAAAAAUGAAGGCCAUGUAUCCUAUCCAAUCUGGCACUCCUCUAACCCACCGCUUCAGCUCCAAAUGGUCCCCCGGCCGCCCGGCGUCAUACCACUACGACGAUGUCGUCUACAUGGCCGAACCACGAGGCCAAUGCAGCAGUUUCUCCCGGCCCCGAAUCAAUCCGAUGUCAGUCCUUGGGCUCAUGGCGUGGUGGCCUCCUUCACAAUGGGCAUUCAAAGCAACUCCAAUGGGGCGACCCAUUUUGUUCGCAGCCGUCCGUUUGGAUCGGCGCGGACAAAAAAAUCGGCCCAAUGGCCGACACAAACGGACGCACGUCCGCUUUCGUCCGUCUGUCGACCCAUUCCCGGCUCAUUUUUGAGCCGGAUUUGCAUCGGCGCGGACACAAGACGGACGCGCGCGCUCUCUUUUCUCACCUGGUUCGCUGGUCAGUGACAUAUUGGAUUGGCCUCUCCACAUCAAACAACACACCCUCGCCCGCCUGCUUCGUCGCCGACGCCGCAGGCCAUUUUUUCCGAUAAAAAUGGAUACAUAGAUAGUUCUAGCGUACAUAGAUAAAAGAAAAGACCACUACUCGUCGCUUUCUGACUCCGACUCGGUAAUGUCCUCCUCCGACGUCUGAAUGUAGGCGUCAGUAUGCUGCUCGUCUUCAAAAUCCCAACCCGACGUUUCUCAUAGCUUCAGUUUCAAUUCAGCGGCCUGCUUCCACGAACGCUUGUCCUCCCGAUAGGCGGCUCGCUCCGUCCUCCUCGCGUCCCUCUCCAACCUCCUUUACUUGUAGAACUGGCGCUCGUCGACGAUGUCCUGCGGGAAGCGUUCGCGCCACACCACGAUGGCUUCCACGUCCAUCUCGGUGAUGGCGAGGCGAGGCUAUCACCUCCGGUGGACAUGACGAUCCUCGUCGGUGAAAAGCCGCGGGAGAGGCGCCAGAUCCUGCGCCCGCUGGCUCGACACGUCGGAAAAAUUCAUAUAACGAGCGCCGGCCGCGGCGCGCGCGCGAACCUUUCCCGCGUGCUGGAGCGCGAAAACCAGCACGCGCUAGACCGCUUUCCCGCGCGCGCGAACCUUUCUUGCGUGCUGGAGCGCCAAAAUCAGGGGGACGGCAUGGCCGCCGGCAUGAUCUAAAGCGCGCACAGUCAUAAAAUGGGUCGGCCCGUUGGACGCACUGCCGACUCAAAACUAAAAAAGGGAGGACGCGGACGGGGGCCGACCCAAACGGACAAAAACGCCGUCCGUUUGGGUUGACCUGUUGGAGUUGCUCUCACAGGGAGGAAUCAAAGACAAUGGGGAAAAGAGAGUUGGGGAAUGGAAGGAACGGGAACCGUAUGAGCCGAGGGAGAGGAAGUCAUGGGAGUCAAGCCAGCCAUAGAGGAUUCGAGGUGACCGCCCCUGCCGCAAUAGCGCCGCCUCCGCAAACUAUGCUUCCGACCAUCCACCACAGCGACCGAGGCCAGCCGCCGCUCACCACGGCGUCCCGGCUGCCCCGUUGAGGCGUUGACCAUCACACAGUCGAGCCCAGUCGCCGCCGCUGGAACCGCAACUGGGAUGUGGUUGGCUUGUAAUCCCUGGACCACUUUUUUUUUCUACUCCAUCCAUCCCACGACAUGUGACAUUCAGAGGCGUGGGCGCUGUAACAUCGAUGUAAUAUUACCUUCAACAGGGACAAAAGGUUACGACAGAGGAGCCAGGAUGGGGUGCAGUGGGAUCGGGAGCAAUGAUACUUUGGGUGGGUCGGUUGACCAGGGUGAGGAAUAAUUUAUUCUUCAUUCUGGGUGUCUAAUAGAUUUUCUAUAUAUGACUAUUUGUCAUCCUGGAUGAGGAAUAGUUAUUCUUCACCCCCCUCUAUUUUACCAUUAAUGCAUCGUAAUUUUACGUUUCGUAAGUUUUGUCUUAUUUCUGACGUAAAAAAAGAUCGUAAGAAAAUAUAUAAUCGUCGUAAAAAAUAUUUUAUGUUAUGUAAAAUUACAAACGUAAAAACAUAGUGUAAAAUACACAUAAACUGCAAAUUUUCUUGUCUUAUGCCCUAUAUUUUUUAAUUUUUUAUGCCAAAUUUUAUGUAGUGAAUCAAUAAGAAUGUAACUAUUUGAAUUCCAAACGUAAUUUAAUUAUGAAAUGAUCGUAAGAUUACCUCGGAUGAAGAAUAACUUAUUCCGUACCCUGGGUGAUGAAUAGUAAUACUAUAUAUAUAAUUUUGUUCUAACGCUGGUCCACAUGGCAUUGUAGAUAGUAAGUAAUACAUGCAAAUAUAUAUAUUUCUGUUGCAUGGUCCGAAUGUAAGAUUAUACAGUACUAUAUAAAUCUGCAACGCUUGUGAAGGACAGAUAACACCAGAAUGUGCAUAUCUUUUCCUUAUAGUCUGUACAGUGGAUCAUUGAAAGAAAAACCUUCUGGUUGCGUUUGUCGCCACUUGAGCUAUCGAUCUGCACCAGCGCUAGCAUGCUGCCGCGUCCGUGCGUGCUACUGUCGCAAUGGUAGAAGUCGCAUUGGAUUGUGCUGACGCCACACUGCCUGACACAAUCAACGGUCUGUGCUGAAGUGCCGCCGUGAAGGUUGCCGAUUAGUCGGCUGCGUCGACGAUGCCCUGUGAUGCGAUCGAUCAAGGCAGCUAACAUCGGCGGCAGUGAUUGGAGUUUCAGCAACUCAGCGUUCCUUAGCAUCGCGUACCCAUGGCUCCUACUUCCAACUAAAUCAUCAUCUCCAUGGGCUGGAUCUGCGGGGGCUUGGAUGUGACACCAUGUAGUUCCCACGAUGGAAGCAAGCCAACCAUGGUGGGUAGCUGAUGCGAGAGAUGAGGGAGAUUGGUAACAGCAAAAACUAGAUCGAAAACGUGCCUUGGCAAGGUAGUGAAUGCUCAGUUUAGUAGGAAAUCAAGUUUAGCGUACGUAUUCAAACAGGAUACAACAAAAUAAAAGGAAGAAGAAACAUUCACAUGUAAUAGGAGCAAAACACCAUUGAGUUCAACAUCAUCAUGAAACUAUAAGACAGCAUACGGUAGGUUAAAAAGCUCUGUUUCCAUAAACAUUUGAAUCACAACCACCAUGGCCCAGAUAUAAAGAUGACCCAUAUAAACCAUGAACACAGAGCCUCCAACCAUCCACAAAUUGAAUAUGUACAUAUAAGAAUUGACUUGUUCUUGUUUUGGUCGCUGACAAGCAAAACCAGUCCCCUGGCUGUAUUCCCAUUGGUGGCAACCUGAAGAAAAAAAACAUAAGAUUGGCUUAAAAAAAUACUCGACAGAUACUCCAUUAUCAACAAAAUAGGUGAAUGGCUGGUAUACAAAUUAGCUGAGCAACACAAGAUUUUGACAGCAAACAUCCUGCCACAAACGAUGAAAAACGAACAUAAGCAAACCCCCCAGAAAAAAGAAAGCCUAACAAUAAUAGUAGAUAGAUCUAUUAAGGCACAAUCCUUGCUUAAAAUACAGCCGCUAAACUAAAAUACGAACAGAGAAAGAUGGGAGAAGAUGAGCAGCUGCAACGGGAUGGCCGAGCAUGACAUAUUACCAGCUCACAACAGUCACCAAUCCAAUAGAAAAUCCUAACCCUAGAACAUUAACGGGGCAACAAAAGAGCUAGAUGAGCACCUGGAGAUAACAAAUCGAACGAAAAAAAUGNNNNNNNNNNNNNNNNNNNNNNNNNNNNNNNNNNNNNNNNNNNNNNNNNNNNNNNNNNNNNNNNNNNNNNNNNNNNNNNNNNNNNNNNNNNNNNNNNNNNNNNNNNNNNNNNNNNNNNNNNNNNNNNNNNNNNNNNNNNNNNNNNNNNNNNNNNNNNNNNNNNNNNNNNNNNNNNNNNNNNNNNNNNNNNNNNNNNNNNNNNNNNNNNNNNNNNNNNNNNNNNNNNNNNNNNNNNNNNNNNNNNNNNNNNNNNNNNNNNNNNNNNNNNNNNNNNNNNNNNNNNNNNNNNNNNNNNNNNNNNNNNNNNNNNNNNNNNNNNNNNNNNNNNNNNNNNNNNNNNNNNNNNNNNNNNNNNNNNNNNNNNNNNNNNNNNNNNNNNNNNNNNNNNNNNNNNNNNGCAUCGAGCGCCUCCGACGGGUGCUCCUCACCCUGCGUCUCUACCCCCGCUGCUCUUCGGUUGAAGUGACGGCGCGUAGUGGACGAUGGAUCUCGUGGCGUGGGCCGUGACAGAUGACGUGGAACUCGCGGUGGGGGCGUGGCGGAGGAGGCGGAGCUGGGGACAGGGACUGAAAAUGGCGGCGGCGAGACGCAUCGCGCGCGUGCGUGCGGGAAAGGUGGGGCUCCUUUGGUUUUCAGUUGCUCCUGCAAGAAGACGACCAGGCAAAUUAUACGCGAGGAAAAGUAAGAAGCGGACAAGGGCGAAAGAAACGAACCUUUGUCACGGCGACGAGGCAACGACAAGCCGGAAGGGCGUCGGAUCUGGCGGAAAGGGACGGAGCGGAGAGAAGGGACGAAUAAGAGAAGGUGGCCUGGACGCGGACGGCGGAGCUAACAUUUCCAGGGCUAACUGCAACAGGGCCUUGUGCUCCAUCAUGAGAAGGUAUUGACCUAUACAUGAAAAAAAACAAUCUUCAGUUUCAAUUAAAGUGAGUCAACAUACAUAGUGUCUAAAUUUUACAGGUUUGGAAAUAUUGUAAUCUCUAAAUUGUAGUGAAUGGUAACUACCAACCUAAAUUAAAUUUUCUAUCUUCUUUUAUGGAAUAAGAUAGACCUACCAGAUUACAAGUCAGAUUCUAAUGAAUCUUAAUCAUUCACAAGCCUAUAGAUUAAAGUACACUCAUGUGGUAUAACCUAAUUACUAAUUAACCUGCAUAGCUACAGAUCAUGUCAUCUAUCCAAAUGAUAUGUGCUCAUUUGAUAACCAGCAAAAAUUUACCUAACUCUAUAAAUAUCUUCCAAUUACUACUGCAACCUGCAAGAAAUAAUUAAUCUGCAGACAAACAUGAGAGGUAUUCAGGAAACAAAAAAAUACUACUGCUCCAAUAAUUACUAUAAACUGAAAGAAAUACAAUACUUAAUUUUAUACAUACAGAGAAGGAUUCACGGAACAAAAAAUCUGCUCCAAUUACUAUUGUACUGAAGAAAUACCUAAUAUGCAGACAUACAUGAGAGGGAUUCAGAAACAAAAAAAAUACUACUGUUCCAAAUACUACUAUAAACUAAAAGAAAUACUUAAUUUGCAACAUACAUGAGAGGGAUCCAGGGACCAAGCACAAGUUGCACACCCACAUAUAGGAAUGCCGGACGUACAUGAGAGAGAUUCAGGGAACAAAAGAAACUCACCCUGAACACCGGCUGUUUGUUGUGUUCAUCACCUCCUUGGUACGGUCAUGGUCCUCUUCUUGGCCUGCGUCCAUCUCCCGGCACCCCCGUGCUGCUGCACUCCUGGUCCUGCGAGCAGCAAAGCUCUUUGUACGUCGUGCCACCUUGAUCACCACGGUCCGGAAGCCAAGAGCAUGAGCAGACCAAAAUCAGAAUGGAUUAACCAGGAAACCCUAGACAAAUCCCUAAAAAACAACAAAGCCCUUGAUGAGCACAUACACAUCACAAAGGGAAAGACAAACAAGGGAGCAAAUAAUCACCUCAGCCAUCUUAGAAGCCCACUCGGUGUGCUCCCUCUCCGGCCGACCCGCAAGACAACCCCAACGCCACGCCACCGUCCCAGCCAUGAAACAACCAGAGAAGCAAGGAAGAUGGUAAGAAACAAGCGAAAUAAAAAGUAGUGGGCAUUAAUAUCACAAGAUUUUUACAUGCAAUGGAUGCGCACUCACAUGCACACAAAGUUGGCUCCAGCCGGUUUGAGCCAUCCAAAAUUAAACAAAAACGUGAUGUGCGUGCGCACACACACACACACACAAUUUGCUGCUCGAGUUUCAGUCAUGGCAUACACAAUUUGUAUGCAUCCAAAACCGAAGGUACAAAUAGCAGGUAGAUGAGAGGGGGAGCUCACCACAAUUGUGUUGGGUGGGAGUUGAAGAGGGAGGUAGGGAUGUUGGCCUGCUCCUCUCAAUGAUAUCAUAAAUAACCUUUCAUCUCAAUGUAUUAUUUAGUUAUGCUACAUGCAGAAUGAGAUACAAAAAGAACAUGUAAUAUACCAAAAAAGGGAAUGCAGCAACAGCGGAAAGAAAUGCUAAAAGGGAACAUAGAGCAGAAAACCAAUCCAAAAUGCAAGCAAGAGUCUUUAAAAGGGAACAUAGAGCAGCAGGAGCAUGAGGCAUAGAAAAAUGGGGUCACCUUAAGAUGAAGAAUCAGUGGCCCUCUCUCGGUUCAAAUCAGAAGGAUAGAACCACUAUUAUUGAUUAGAAUUAUUUUUACUCAGGCAAAACAUUACAACACUGGAUCCUAAGCUACAGGUGAGGCAUACAAAACUACAAGUGUCUAUUAUUUUCAUAUAUAAACAACCUUUAGUAUCUCAACUAGAACCAAAGCAAAACAAAAAAAAUCAUGGUUAAGUAACCAGCAAAGGAAGAAUGCACCUUUUUGGAAUUUUAAAGUAUCAAGACAUUAAAAGUUCUCUUUUGCCUUCAAUACUACACACAUUAGGGGAGGUAGCUGCAGUUUUAUUGCAUAGUGGGCUCAGAUUCGCCUUUUCUCGAUCAUAUAAACUACCCCCAUCAUCUCUUAUCACCGGAUCAAUCUAUUUAUACAAUGGAACUGCCCUGGUUAUCACUCAACAAGAAUGACCAUCCAAGGACAGAUCAAUAGGUAUCACAUGAUUAAAAAGGAUUCUAGAGACAACUAGCGGGUAGUGCGCGGCGGCACGCCGCACCACUCGGACUAAUUAGCUAUUUAGUUAUUUUGUAAUUUUUGGUAAGUUUGUUUGAAAUAUUUGUCUAGGACAAAGUAGUCCAUAGCAUAUCGGAAAACUCUUCAUCAUUUCCUACACCUAGAAUGUCGACCCUCCAGCUGGAUUUGUCUCGGUAACAUAAUGGUAGAGUGAGGAAGCUAGUUCUUCUGCUCGUGUUGUCGGUGGUUUGUCUCCAGUAUAAAUGAUGUUGAAGCUUGAGGUUGCACGUCCUGGCUCUCGACGAAUUAUGAUGCUCGGUGUUCAUAUGGGCAGCUUGAGUAUCGGACAAACCUUAGUUUUGAAGGUCUACCAGAAACUGCCUGGGAACCGGAAACAAUGAGGUUGAUUAUUGCAGGACUGAGAGGCGAGCUCAUUGAGAUAUUACCGUCCGAAGAUCGAUGGAUAAUUGAAGUAGUUGCAUGGCUUGCUAAUCCUAACAAGGUACCUAAAUCAAUGGAAGUAGAGGUGCCGACACCACCUCUGCCACCUUGGAAGCCAGACUCUGACAAUGAAGGAGAAUCGCCACCACGUCCGUCAUCACCUACCUAUAGGAGAGUGAUGGUUUUCCCUGUGACCAUUCAUGUGAAAGAGGUUUUGGACCGUGGUCCCUUGAUGUCUGAAUUGCCAUCUGCAUAUCUUCCUGGCGAAGGCGUGGAUCUAUCUCGAAUCCAUGUGUUCGACACCUGGCGUGGAAAAGUUGAUGGCAGUGGCCCUGGUGAUAAUGGAAUGGCCUAGAUCAUGCCCUAGCAAAGUUGCUGAAUAGCAGCAGCUUCUUUCUUUCCUUUUUCAAUAAAAUUGUCAGUUGUAUGAUGUAUGGUUGUAUGCUGCCUUAUUUUACGUAAUUAAGGUAUGUAAUCUUUGCAAUUUAUGUACUUCGUUAAAUUCUUUCACGGCAUUUUUUUCUUUCUUGGUUUGGUUGACAAGUGAUGCAUGCAUUUGCCAGUACGCACAAUAAACUUAGAUUACGCUGCUAGGAGAAACCAAUGAGUAAUUCACAAUAUAGGUGGCCAGCUUUUACAACGCAUCUAGUUACUACUGCUAAAAGAGGUAAAAAAAAAGAGAGAGAGUCCCAACUUGCACAAGAGUAAAUCACAAUACAGGUAGUAGAUUUUACAGCACAUCUAGUUACUUACUGCUAAAAGGGGUUAAAAAGAGAAACACGCAGCACUUGUUUUUACGAAGUCCCAACUUGCACAUCUUCUGAUGACAGCUACUUGUUCAGUUGAUCCAUGCCUUGAUGGACGCUUCCAUCUUUCUGAAUUGCAUGCAUGUCACCAUAAAAGGCUCAGUCAUGUCUAGUAGCUUGAUCGACACUUGUCUCAUCUUGAUUUGGUGUGGGAUGAACCUCACGUCCUCACACCAAGCAGUGCAAUCGUAGGAUGAGACGAUGUUCUCCCAGUGGUCCUCUAAUGGAUCAUCAAUAACAGUCUUGUGCUGCUUCACCAUGCAAUACGGGCUAAGAAGGUACUCGAUUAUUGGAGCCAUGUAAAAACUGCAUGGCAUGUCAUGGAUCCUGAGCUCGACUGUGCAAUUGAUUGGAAACCCAAAUGAUCCAAAUGCUGGUGUCCAUGGCUAGAUGUCAACCUCACCAGCACGGAUCUCAGCUUCAAAUAUGGUACGUACAAUGUGAUAGAGCGAGCGACCCAUGAGAGGAAUGGAGGUUGAUAGCAAAAAAUCUGACGACGUGAGCCUUCUGGCUUUAAUUUUGAUGUAUCUUAUAUCACCCAGAUAAGUCACGAGACUAUCAAAGGAUGAGAAAUAGGUUUCAGCAUGCGGUGAAAAAAUGACCAUGCUAGACAAAAUCUGAAUCUAGGCGGGAUCGAUAAACCUCUGGGAAAUAAAGCAUUGGAUUGGUUUGCUUCCAGAACUGGUUAUUGGCACGGUUGGGCAGUAAGGCUGUUUCACUGGGUGGGCCCCGAUUCUGUACUCGCUGAUGAACAGAUUUACAUUAUAUGCGCUAAAGAAGAUCAUCUGUUGGUCUGCGGUGUACGCAUCCUCGUCGGACACGUUCACUUGUAUGGUUGGAGGCACCAUGAUGGAUGGACUGGCCCACGCAUAGCAUGUAAAAGUGGAUGGAUAUUCUAUUAAGAGUGAGUCCUGUGUGACAUAAUCUAAGGAGCAAUAUGGACUGAGGAUUUGCUCUACUAUGAUGCUCUUCCACAGAUGAAGUGGCAGAUUUCUCAUUGAGAUAAUAAUGUACUGAUUGGUAGAGAUUCUUCCUAGAUGGAGCAGUGCGUCAUCUACCAUAAAUCUAUAGCGGACACCUUGGAUAAUAAUAGUGGAGUGGCUUCUAGAGAGAUUGUAGACACGGUUUCCAGUGGUGUGGUGGGUGCAGGUCAUGACAAUCCUAUUGUCAGUGACAUCAUGGAAGGAUAGCUUGUAGUGCCUGGUGAACCUAGCGAUGAGAGCAGCAAGUACAUGCGGAGACGGAAGAGCAUUAGAGGGAGAACAUGGGGUGACUAUGUAAUUACGAUGGAGAGGCACGCAACUACGGGUUGCAAGCUGGAUCGCUCCCAUGAAACAUUUUUCUGCGUCUGGGCGAUGGAAGCCCACAUCGUUGGUGGAAGAAAGUUCGUCGUCCAUCAGAAUAGAAAUACCUGAAAAGAAAUGGCAACAAAAUAAACGAAACCACAAGGCAUCAGCAAGUUUGAAAGCAAGAUGACAGAAGAACAAAAGGAUUUAGUAAUCUUAUCUCUCCAAAAGCAUGCCUACCGUUAGUCAGAAUAGUGGCAAAGUGUCUCAAGGCACCAUUGUUUAUUCACACACGCUGUAAAAGUUUGGAAGCGUGUGAACCCAUAGCAUGGACCGGCCUCUUUAUAUAGCAACUGGCCGUAUAUACUGUAGAACUACUGUCAUCUGCAUGCGUGUCGUACCAUGGUAGAUCGUUUGCAUGCAGGAGCUAUAAAAAUCGUCUCGUGCAGUAACUGUAAAACGUCCCAUGCGUGCCAUCGCCAUGGUAGACCGCUUGCAUGUAGAACACUUGGCUAGUAAUCAGAGACGUGCUUCCGCCGUCCUCGGUGGGACAACGUAUUGCACAACAUGCAAAAGAUGACUGUACUCUACACAUGCAUGUCUGAGGUCUACGCAAAGCAGUCUAUGCAUGUCUAGUCCAGAAAUAUAUCUUUAAUUACAAUGCAUAGUCAUUUGCAUCUUUUAUUUGUCUUGUUGAUACGUUCACAGGUGGGCAGAAGUAGGAGGAGGCGGACCUUGCUAUGAUUUAUGGAGAAAGCUGCACAACUGCAUGCGGGCUACAGUGGACUAAUUGGUCAGGCACAGCUACAGUGCGCUAUAGUAGACUAAUUGGUCAGGCAGCUACAGAUGUGGGUAGGCACAAGUACAUCAGUGUAACCUGGGCGCGGCAAGGUAGACAGGUCUGACCUGGGCUGAGCGAGAGCGUGCUGGCGUGUGGGCUGGACAUGACCAGGUAUGUACGCGAGGAACCAGACAACCAACCAGCAGUAAAAUAGGGACGAUACAAAACUUCCACAUCAGAUGCAGCUCUAACAGCAACAAGACAAGGAUCAAUCCGUUCUUCAAGUACAGGCCGAAAGUUCCUUCCAACUGCAAAAGUCAACCAAUUAGCAAUUUUUUUCUAAAAACAAUACAAAAGGAGUUAAAAAAAGAAAGCACCCACCAGACAAUGAAUCAACAGGACGCUUCCCACGACAGAUAUCUUGCCGUGCCUGGCGUCGUCGCCGCGCCUCAUCAGCACCCAAAUCUGAAAACACACAGCCACGUAAAAACAACCAACCGCGCAUCAUUAGCACCCAAAUCUGAAAACACACAGGAACGUAAAAAUAACCCAUUUUUUUUACUAAAAUCACACAUAGCUAAUAAAAGACUAAAAAGAGCAAUAAUUAUACUAAAAUCACACAUAGCUAAUAAAAGACUAAAAAGAGCAAUAAUCAUGAGAAACAGAACUACCUUCGGCAAGAAACCUCCCAUCAACAACACCAACCGAGGAAGAGGAAUCCAACGACGUGGAGAGAACACGCUGGGAAGCACGCGCACCGGAACGAACCAUAACAGAGAUGGAACGAACAAGAAGAACUCAGCAAGACAGACAUAAACAAAGACUCCCCUCCCUCCUAACCGCGCACAAAAUCUCAGGCGUGGCAAAGAGGCUUCGAUUCUGAUCUACAUGACGAACAGAGGUGCCGCCAGGGUAAGGAAACGCAGCGGCUGUGUGCGGGAAUUCCCUGUAUACGCUAGCACCUUGUCCCCGCUGAUAGGAAACGGAGGGCCUGGCGCUAGGGGCUGGCCGACGACCAGGUUGGGGAGGAUGGAGCUGCGUGCCGCACCACCACACCUUGGCCUCGCUGAGGGGAGACGGAGAGCCUGGCCGGCGACCAGGUUGGGAAGGACGGGCUUGUGCGCCGCGCUAUCACCUCGGCCUCGCUGGGGGAAACGGAGGACCUGGCGCUAGGGGCUGCCAGCGAACAGGUUGGGGGAGGACGGGGCCGCGCGCCUGUGCGGAGACGGAGGAGAGGAGGCAGCGGCGGCCUAGAGCUGGGCUGGGAUGAUUUCUUGGGGAAACCAUGAACCAACACCAGGCCAGCUACUUAUAGCAACCAAAAGCAAAGAAAAAAUAAAGAUGAAGCCCACCAGAAAAGCCCAGAAGCCAACGUGUCGAUCAACAAACUGCCAGUCUACAACGUGUGAGGCAGACGUGGCGGCAUGCAUGGCCCAUGCAGCAAUCAGACGAAAUCUAGAAGGCCAUUGAUCGCCCGUCUGUCCUCCCUCCUGUGCACCAUGUACGUCCGUGCAUGCAGUUCAAUCGUCAGCUAGCGCGCAGCGCGGAAUAAUAAGGUGCGCCCUGCUUUGAUCGAAAGCGCAUGCAUGUGAAAGCUAGCUAGCAGGUGCAUGUGGAUCAUACGCGGCGGCAGGGAUAGAUGUAUGUACCUAUUUUACACGGUAGGUUACGUUCGCCAGUCUACAACGUGUGAGACAGACGUGGCGGUAUGCAUGGCCCAUGCAGCAAUCAGACGAAAUCUAGAAGGCCACCACAACAGCUCACGUGAAUUGGACCAAGGCAUGCAUGCCACGGCAGUCAAACAAAUAUAUUAAAAAGAAAAUGAAGGAAAGACUGCUAUAGGAUGUACUGCACAGGAGGAGGUAACAUGUCGCUCAAAUAGCAUAGGUAAAAAAAAUUCCAAAAAAUCCAGAAAAAUGGAACCCUUACGGGCCUAGUAUUCUAAAUUAAACAAAAACGUGAUGUGCAUGCGCACACACACACACACACACAAUUUGCUGCUCGAGUUUCAGUCAUGGCAUACACAAUUUGUAUGCAUCCAAAACCGAAGGUACAAAUAGCAGGUAGAUGAGAGGGGGAGCUCACCAUAAUUGUGUUGGGUGGGAGUUGAAGAGGGAGGUAGGGAUGUUGGCCUGCUCCUCUCAAUGAUAUCAUAAAUAACCUUUCAUCUCAAUGUAUUAUUUAGUUAUGCUACAUGUAGAAUGAGAUACAAAAAGAACAUGUAAUAUACCAAAAAAGGGAAUGCAACAACAGCGGAAAGAAAUGCUAAAAGGGAACAUAGAGCAGAAAACCAACCCAAAAUGCAAGCAAGAGUCUUUAAAAGGGAACAUAGAGCAGCAGGAGCAUGAGGCAUAGAAAAAUGGGGUCACCUUAAGAUGAAGAAUCAGUGGCCCUCUCUCAGUUCAAAUCAGAAGGAUAGAACCACUAUUAUUGAUUAGAAUUAUUUUUACUCAGGCAAAACAUUACAACACUGGAUCCUAAGCUACAGGUGAGGCAUACAAAACUACAAGUGUCUAUUAUUUUCAUAUAUAAACAACCUUUAGUAUCUCAACUAGAACCAAAGCAAAACAAAAAAAAUCAUGGUUAAGUAACCAGCAAAGGAAGAAUGCACCUUUUUGGAAUUUUAAAGUAUCAAGACAUUAAAAGUUCUCUUUUGCCUUCAAUACUACACACAUUAGGGGAGGUAGCUGCAGUUUUAUUGCAUAGUGGGCUCAGAUUCGCCUUUUCUCAAUCAUAUAAACUACCCCCAUCAUCUCUUAUCACCAGAUCAAUCUAUUUAUACAAUGGAACUGCCCUGGUUAUCACUCAACAAGAAUGACCAUCCAAGGACAGAUCAAUAGGUAUCACAGGAUUAAAAAGGAUUCUAGAGACAACAUGGAGGAUCCAACUUGAUACCCCAGGUGCCUUGAUUGCUCAAAGGCACACUUAUUCCAGCCAAAGUUAAUCAUCAUCGCCCUAGCACGAACGCCACCGCCAAAGACAAAGCGAAAUGGCGAGAAUGCCCCCGGCGGGGCAGGCUAUUUACGAGCAGUGGCACGAAAUGGGAGUAACUAUUCAUUCCAGCAGUAACUUUUUUUUAUCCGACGGACGAGGUCGUUACAGGGGUCGAUCCGACGGCCCAGAUCCGAUCAAGCGACCUGAUCCGACGGCCAGGAAUCCCAAAUCGUUGUGGUGCGGCCCGAGGAGCUUCUAUUCUUAUUUCUGGAUGGAUGGAUGGAUCAAUAUAGCCAUGGCCAUGUCCCAUACAGUAGCCGAAGCAGAGGAGCAGGAGGAAGAUGGAGCUCACCGAGGGAGGUUGUAGCCGAGGUAGUACUCAGUGCACGCCGGGGUUGCGCGUGAACGCCGUCCAACCAGCAAUGAACCGCGUCGGAGUUGCGCCUUGCACCGUCCCGCCGACGAGCACAAACGCACCAAAAAACCUGUAUAAGAAAGGCAUCGUUAUUUAUCAGAAACAAUUAUUUAGUAAUUACUAUUUCGCAGAAUGACUAAUAGGUAAGACAUAUAGGUGCAAAGAUCUCAUGCUCUCAUGGUUGAGCCUCUUUUUUUUGAGAAAAGACACCCCCGAGUCAAUUAGCUCACCUAGCGGUAGCCCAAGAGCGAGCUUGAGUGGAGUAUUACCUAACCGACAUUGCUUACCCCAUACUCAUUUAUAAAGUAUAUUUAAUCUGUAUGCUCUAUACACAUUUAUUCCAUGUGGUUACUCUAUACUAAACAUAUCUGAUCCAACAGCCGAAACAGCCGUAGAUUAGGUGCUGGCCUAUUGGAAAAUGCAACUGAUUCAUAAGUAGAUCUUUAAGCACCCGUAGGAUGGUAUAUUAGCAAUAGUGCUAAGCAUUUUUUAGAUAGCAAGCUUGAUGAAAUUAAGGAUUUUAGGUUAUUUUUCAAUUAUAAUGCCCAGCAAAGGUUUAAAGAUUUUUUGUUUUAGCUGUCCCAUGACAAUCUGCACUAAAAUCCUAUUACAUCCACGAGCACAUUAAAGAAAGAGAGUUACCUAGCCCACGAUCGGAGGCGCAGGAGCAUCCAAAGGUCCGCUCCAUUAGAGAGGAGUGGCAGGCAGGGAAAGCCGACGCUAACGAGGAGCCCACCCAGCCUGCCUGCAUGAGGAAAAAACCAAGCGCAUGCAUGAGAGGGAAGGUAACUGAGAGUGGGAAGAGCAAACUAAAGCAGCCUGAGCUCUGAGAGAGCUCGGUGGAUGCUUCAUCUCUUAUUUUUGGAUGGAUGGAUGGAUCAAUAUAGCCAUGGCCAUGUCCCAUACAGUAGCCGAAGCAGAGGAGCAGGAGGAAGAUGGAGCUCACCAAGGGAGGUUGUAGCCGAGGCAGUACUCAGUGCACGCCGGGGUUGCGCGUGAACGCCGUCCAACCGGCAAGGAACCGUGUCGAAGUUGCGCCUUGCACCGUCCCGUCGACGAACACAAACGCACCAAAAACCUGUAUAAGAAAGGCAUCGUUAUUUAUCAGAAACAAUUAUUUAGUAAUUACUAUUUAGCAGAAUGACUAAUAGGUAAGACAUACAGGUGCAAAGAUCUCAUGCUCUCAUGGUAAAUCCUAUAAUUAACCAGGGUCAUCAUUAUUAUUAAUCACAAUCCACAACUACAAAACCAAGAAAAGCCUUAGUGAUCAUGAAGGGCAUGAAUGAUUAGCAAAAAGUGGAACGGGCUGAUGAAAGAUACACAGAGUGAGAGACAUGAGAUCCUCACAGUAGCACCACCAUGUUUAGAGACUUGCAGCUCCGGCUUGCUGCUCAGCCGGCGGACACGACACCGAGCUCUCACUGCAUCAACGACUCGGUUGUACGCUAUAUGGAGCAGCAGAAAAAAGGAGAUCAGAACUAUAUAUAUGGACAUCUAUGAGAGAGGGGAACCUGAGAUGCAGUACCUGAGCGCACGCGCAACACGAGUACAACAACCGCACACGAUGGUGACUUCAACGGAGCAGCGGCGUGAGCCGUGACUUGCGCUUCUGCCGUCGACGGCGACAACACCCAUCAACCCAGUCAUGCUCGACUUCACGCACACGAACGAGCAAGGGUUACACCGUGUCCAUGCUCCCGCUGGACGGCGCCGCCAGUUCCGCCGCCUCGUGCGCUGACUGGCACAUGGUGGUGAAGAGGUGGCUGGGCGUGGAGGUAUCUUCCAAGUGGAGAGCUCCCAAUUGAAAACACAUCAAGCAAAGUAUCAGAAAAUAGAAGAAGCUUCAGCGUCGAUAUCGGGCCGUAGCUACUACCCAGCGUCGCAGGCCGCCGUUGAGUGCGACCACGAGGUCGUUGGGUGGGGAGAGGGGCGGGGAGGAUGGGAGGGAACGCAAGGCGGGGAUGGAGGCGCAACGAGUCGAUUAGGCAUCAAUGCAGAGGUACAUGGCGACGGGGAUGUCAGGCGAGGGCAUCGUGUGGCAGAGGCGGCGGCGAUGAACCACUGGAGGAGGAGGCCCGCUGGUCAAAUGCUGCUUUGACUACCUCCACGUCAUCAAAACAAAUGAGCAAACCCAACAACAACAACAACAAGUCCCAAACAAGACGGGAUAGGCUAGAGGUGAAACCCAUAAGAUCUCGUGACCAACUCAUGGUUUUGACACAUGGAUAGCAAGCUUCCACGCACGCCUGUCCAUGGCUAGUUCUUUGGUGAUACUCCAGUCCUUCAUAUCUCUCUUUAUGGUCUACCCCGACCUCUUUUGACAUUAUCAGCAUGCUUUAGCCGUCCGCUAUGCACUGGAGCUUCUGAAGGCCUGCGCUGAAUAUGCCCAAACCAUCUCAGACGAUGUUGGACAAGCUUCUCUUCAGUCAGUGCUACCCCAACUCUUAUCUCGUAUAUCAUCAUUCCGGACUUGGUCCUUCCUAGUGUGGCCACACAUCCAUCUCAACAUGCACAUCUCCGCCACACCUAACUAUUGAACAUGUUGCCUUUUAGUCGGUCAAUACUCAAUGCCAUACAACAUUGCGGGUUGAGCCUAGAACGUGCCUUUUAGCUUUUGUGGCACUCUCUUGUCACAGAGACUGCCAGAAGCUUGACGUGACUUCAUCCAUCCAGCUUUGAUUCGAUGGUUCACAUCUUCAUCGAUAUCCCCAUCCUUCUGCAACAUUGCCCCCAAAUAUCGAAAGGUGUCCUUCUGAGGCACCACCUAUCCAUUAAGGCUAACCUCCUCCUCCUCCUCCUCCUCGUGCCUAGUAGUACUGAAACCGCACCUCAUGUACUUGCUUUUAGUUAUACUAAGUCUAAAACCUUUCGAUUCCAAGAUUGGUCUCCAUAGCUCUAAUUUCCUAUUGACCCCUGCCCGACUAUCGACUACUAGUACCACAUCAUUCGCAAAGAGCAUACACCAUGGGAUAUCUCCUUGUAUAUCCCUCGUGACCUCAUCCAUCACCAAAGCGAAAAGAUAAGGGCUCAAAGCUAACCCUUGGUGCAGUCCUAUUUUAAUCGGGAAGUCAUCAGUGUCGCCAUCCCUUGUUCGAACACUUGUCACAACAUUAUCGUACAUGUCCUUGAUGAGGGUAAUGUACUUUGUUCGGACUUUGUGUUUCUCCAGGGGCCACCACAUGACAUUCCGCGGUAUCUUAUCAUAGGCCUUCUCCAAGUUAAUGAACACCAUAUGCAGGUCCUUCUUUUGCUCCAUGUAUCUCUCCAUAAGUUGUCGUACUAAGAAAAUGGCUUCCAUGGUCGACCUCCUAGGCAUGAAACCAAACUGAUUUUUGGUUACGCUUGUCAUUCUUAAGCGGUGCUCAAUGGCUUUCUCCCAUAGGUUCAUUGUAUGGCUCAUCAGCUUAAUUCCACAGUAAUUAGUACAACCUGAAACAUUCCCCUUGUUUUUGAAGAUUUGUACUAAUAUACCCCGUCUCUAUUCUUCUGGCGUCUUGUUUGCCCGAAAAAUGAGAUUGAAAAGCUUGGUUUAGCCAUACUAUCGUUAUGUCCCCGAGGCCUCUCCACACCUCAAUGGGAAUACAAUCAGGGCCCAUCGCCUUGCAUCCUUUUUAAAGCCUCCUUGACCUCAGACUCCUGGGUUCGCCGCACAAAACACCUGCUAGUAUCAUCGAAGGAGUUGUCCAGUUCAAUGGUAGAGCUCUCAUUCUCCCCAUUGAACAUCUUGUCAAAGUACUCCCGCCAUCUAUGCUUAAUCUCCUCGUCCUUCACCAGGAGCUGUUAUGCUCCGUCCUUGAUGCAUUUGACUUGGUCAACCUCCCUUGUCUUCCUCUCUCGGAUGUUGGCCAUCUUAUAGAUGUCCCUUUCACCUUCCUUCGUGUCUAACCACUGGUAGAGGUCCUCAUAUGCUCGACCCCUUGCUUAACUCAUAGCUCGGUCUGCGACCUUCUUUGACAUCUUGUACUUCUCUAUGUUGCCUGCACUCCUAUCCAGGUAUAGGCGUUUGAAAGAAUCUUUCUUCUCCUUAAUAGCCUUCUGGACAUCAUCGUUCCACCACUAGGUAUCUUUAGCUUCUCUUCUACUUCCCUUGGACACAAAUGAGCAAACUCACCUAACACAAUUUAUGAGUGGUAUUGGAUAGUUCAGGGGGUUAAGGGAGCAAAAAAGUAAUUAAUGGGGUUAUGCAAACCAGCCACUUUGUUCAAGGGAGUUAAAUGGACUUCUUUUCAUUUAUGUACAUUACAUUUAUCAAGUUUAGUUCAAAUGCUUUCUUAUACCAAUCUAAAUAAUUAUGAACCAAGUACAAUAUGUUAUUCUUUUCUCAUAGUGUGCGAUUUUCUUUUCCUUACUCUUGCAGCACUGUCCGGUAUUUCAGUUACAGUUAGAUGAUGAUCCUGAGAUUAUGACACAAAAUUAUCAGGAUUUGCUUACCUUAAUUACCAAUCACAUCACACAGAUUUGGCAGAAUCUUCAUAUUGAAGGAAAUGGUCUUAUUGAGGAGGUUCAAACUUUGCCAAAAGGCGCGGGAUUCUUUAUAAUUGAAUUGCUCGCUCCACUUAGUUGGAUUCAAGAUAAUGAUGGUCCUGUUAGGUUACUUUUUAGUUUUGAUAAUCUUUAUUGCAUUGGGUUCUUUAGAAAUGAAAAUUGGUUUAUCUUUAGUGAUCAUUACAAGGAUAUGAAGGAUGUUCUCGAAGGAACUAUAGCGAGACCUCUUAGUUUUUCUGGCAACUACAACAAGUUAAAUGCCGACUUCUUCAACAUCCAUCUAGGGGUUCAGGCUCUCUUUCAGACUUACAAAGGAAUAGCAGGUUAUCCUGGGUCCCUCAUCAAAGUUCCUCUAUUGACGAGUUGCAUUACCUUUUCAGAGCCUCUUAGAUUUCCAGCAUUUCGUCAGUACAUGAUCAGCAAAAUGUCGACGUAUGAUUCUCCUCCAGGAAGCAUUACGGAGUUUUCUAUUCAUUUUACAAAUUGGUCAAAUUAUUGUGACAUUAUUCGUGAAGGCAGGGCACAGUUCGAUCCUCUUAAUGCGUUUGGCAUACAAAGUUAUGAUGAUCUUUUGGGCCUUGUUGGGAUGAUACUGUAGCUGACAAGAAUGGAUGCACUCCAUUAGUUGCAUUAUUUAUUUCUCUGAAUUCGGUGGAUGGAUAAGGUGGAAUAUAAUGCUACAACAACUGUUUGAACUUAUGGUGUCUGUUUAGGUAUUUUUUAGCGAAGAGGCCUGGAGUACCUGAUAUGAGGGUUUUUGCUGAAAUCUGACAAUGACAACAAUUUGGUUUUCGAGAAUUUGACAUUUACACCGAGGCAUUCUUGUUCUGAGAGCAACAGUGAUUGGCAGCAGCAGUAAUUGUCAGAAUAUUGGUGAAUUUGCCUGAAUCUGGAGCAUUCUUUAUUUUCGUAUUUCCCCACUUGUUGGUUGUGACAUAUUAAUCUGCUCAGUAACUUUCAAUUCUUUCAUGUCACUGAGCAUAGCAAAGGUAUGGCGCAAAGGUAUGGCAGUGAUAGUAUCGACGUAAUUGCAGCUAUUCUUUAUUGCAGUAAUUGUUUAUAAUUAAUCUGCUCAGUAAUAAUUGUUGUAUGUCAAACAAAUAAUGUUGCAUAUGUAAAUGGUGUCAGUAAAACAGUUUUUGAUCUUAUCACUGCUUGUCUACCGGGCCACUAAGAGGAUUCAGUUAAUAUAAAUGUACACUUGGUUGACAUUUAGCAAGUUCCUUUCAGGAUGACUUAUUUUUCUGGAGUGUUCCUACCUUUGUAGCACUAUAAUUCGUUUUCUCACGUCGUUUUUCGCAAUGGUUCCAUUAUAUUUGUCAUUCUGUGGUGUACUAUCGAAUACCAUCUUGUCUGUGCAUACUUUCUUCCAGGAGAGAUAACUAUUCUGUUGCAUCUUCUAUAUGAAUAUUGCUCUGUCAUUUGUCAACUGCUUGUCCGUUGCACAUGGUAACAGUUUCCUUCUAUAAGCUAAUCAUGAUCUGUGACCACUCUUUUUUCUGUUCUCUCUGCAGCAUAGUAUCUUAAUUCAUGUAUGAUAGCACAAUAUUUCAGUACAUAUCCAGUAGCAUGAUAUCUGCAGUAUAAUCCCAGCCAUGUUCUUGAAGCUAUCACAAAAGCAUUUGAUUCUGUCUGCAGUGUUUGUUACUUGAGCUGCUGUCAAAGGAGGCUUUUGGACUGAAAUGGACCGACUGGAUUGCUUGCCUCACCUAGUGGGCUUUUCUAUAGAAGUGCUAUCUCUACUGCCGCUCUUCAUACUUUCAGCUGACUAGUUAGCUGCCCCUGUCCAAGAAGCACAUCUCUCACCGUCUCAUGAGACAGCAUACUGUUUAUCUGAUCCAUCCAAAAAGAUGGUGCCAUUGUCACCGUCCUCAUUGAGACAAAAGCCAAGUGGAGCUACCUCGACGGUGAUCUUUCAUCAGCUACGGCCUCACCGGGAAUUAACUAUAUAUAUAUAUAUAUAUAUAUAUAUAUAUUUUGCGGGUAAGGGAAUUAACUAUAUAUGGCGCAGUAUCUGCAAGGGUGGCUGUGAUCAAGGAGGGCAUGGUUUGGCGAGCAGAUGUGGAUUUGGGAGGAUUCCGGUGCAGUUGGUUUUCCGAGAUCGCGCAGAGGUAAUACGCUGCUGACGCGUGUGUCUGAGCUGAUUGACCCUCUGUAUCAUGCGUGGAUAGAUACCCAACUUGUCAGACAGACUUUCAACCAUGAGGAAGCGGAGGUGAUCCUGAAGAUUCCAAUAUACCAGCAGCACGAGGAUUUCAUAGCUUGGCAGUUUGACAGCAAGGGUUGCUUCUCGGUUCAAUCAGCCUACAGGAUUUAUUGUGAGUUGCAGCUGUAGCUCUGCAUCUGUAGCUCUCUGCUUCUUUUUUGCCCCUCUCUAGUUAAUUGUGUGCGAAGGGGAGCCUUGGCGCAGUGGUAAAGCUGCUGUCUUGUGACCAUGAGGUCAUGGGUUCAAGUCAAGCGGGAGCUACAUGCACCAGGUUGCCCUUUUUUUCUAGUUAGUUGUGUGCGCAAUCUGAACUCGUGUCUGAUUCCACUUUGACGAGAGUAAUGAAAAUGUUAUGUGUGUGUGUGUGUGAAUGAAAAGCGAGUGGCAUUUCAAAACUGGGAACAAAUUUUGAAACCUGACCAAAUGUGUAAAGAAAAUGUUUGUGACAUCUAAAAAAUAUCAUGAGUUUAGAUAAAUGUAUGUGGCAUUUAAAAAAAGUACAAUGUAAAAUAAUAUACGUGUGAUUCAAAAAAUAAAAAAUAAAAAAUGUGCUUGUGACAUUUAAAUGUAUUGAGAAUAAUCACACUUGUGUAAAACAGAAAACCAGUUACCGGCAAAGAAACAAUAUAAAAACGAAAAAUAAAAUAAUGUGAAGAAAAUCAGAAAACGAAAGUGCAACGAAGAAAAAAACAAAUAAAAAUAAAGUAUAAUGAAGAGAAAAACAGAAGAAAACCGAAGAAAAACUUAAAUAAAUAAAAAAUAAAGAAAAACCUGAGCAGCGGGAGCAAUUACGCUAAUGAGCCGGCCUAGUUCAGCGAAUACCAGCUAAAUCCCCUCGAGGUUCAAAAUAGGUCGGGGUAAGAGAGUUUGAUGUGCUGAUUUAAGGGAUUGAAAGUUCAAGGUUUAUUUUAGAUUUGGGAGGUUUGGAGCUGCUAGAGAUGCUCAAAAGAGUUAAAAAGAAAAAAGAAAGAAAAGCAAGUUUAAGGCGACCCCUAGCGUCUCGAGCCCGUGCACUGAGUCCACCCAUCGCCCCGUGCACCCGUCUCCUUCCUUCCUUGACUCCUUCCCCGCACCCACUCCCGGAUCUCAUCUCACACAGCCAGCGCACAUCCCCCACACCCAGAUCCGCCCCAGAUCCGGCCGCCGCCGCCGCCGGCGAUGGCGUGCCUCGCGAUCUCCCUGCAGCCGGUGAACGGCCCGGACAUCCUGCUCCAGACGCGCUCCUGGUUCCCGGUCUCGCGCGCCCUCGCCGCCGUCUCCGCCUUCCGCCUCGCGCGCCUCAGCCUCGCCCGCGGCAAGCAGCACCCCUCCUCCUCCUCCUCCGCCUCCCUCGACGCCAUCGGCGACGACCCGCUGGCCACCGGCUCGGGGCAGCUGGUGGUGGGCGUGGAGUCGCAGUACCGAGUCGUCUACCGCCUCGUCAACUCCAUCUACGUGCUCGGCGUCACCACCGCCUCCGACCACGCCGCGCCCGCCGUCCACGCCUUCGCCGUCGCCGACGCCGUCAACCAGGCCGUCUCCGUCCUCGUCGCCGCCUGCCGCGGCGUCGACGCCACCCCCGAGAAGGUCCACCGCAAGUACCCCGAGGUCUACCUCGCGCUCGACCUCGUCCUCCACGGCGUGGGAUCCGUCCGCCUCUCCCAGAUCCUCGCCACCAUCCAUGGCGACAACCUCGCCCGCAUGGUCAACUCCUCCCCCGACGCCGAGGCCCGCGCCCGCGGCGCCGACUCCUGGCCCGUCGUCGAGCACCUCGCGCAGGACCGCCACGCCGCCCGCGACGGCUUCGCCACCGCCUCCUUCGAGCUCCCCCAGGAGACCCUAUCUGCUGGCGACGAGUUCUCUGCUUCCAGCCUCGCGCCUGCGACCGCUGCGGCUACUGGGGAUGAGCCGCCGCCUGAGGAGGCGCCCCCGGUUGAGAAGGACCCCUUUGCAGCCAGCGACAUGGUUGCUAGCAAGCCAGAGGAGGCGUUGGUUGGUGCCUUCAAGAAGAACAAGGAGACUGCCCUUGUGGUUGCUGAUCCUGCUGCUGCGCUUGCUGGGUUGGAGGUCACCACUUUGCCGCCAGCCGAGGCCACUAAACCAACAUUCAUUGGGGUUGAGGGAUUUGAGGGUGACUACGGUGGAAUUGAGUUUGGUAAUGAGGAAGCUUCACUGGCUGAGGCAUUUGAGGGCUUCAAUGCGCCAUUUGGGGGUGGGCUUGAUGCUUCUGAGUUUGUUACCACAACCAAGAAGGAUCACAAGGACAAGACCCUCACUGGUCUUGAGAUUCUAGCCAUGAGUGGUGGGCAGGCACCAAAUGCGCCUUCUGGUUCGCCACUUGACAGCUUGGUAACCCCGAGCAAAGAGAUGACCGUGCCUGAGUUGUGCAUCGUUGAGGAGAUCAAUGCUGAAUUCAACGAGUCUGUUCUUGCACGGGUUGGUCUGAAGGGUACAAUCAUUUUGCAGACCUUACCACCAAAGAAGGCAGCAGGGAGGGAGGCAGAGUUCUCAUUCCGGCUUGAGGGUACUUCUGGAAUGAAGAGGGCUGCCUUGCAGAGUACCGUGUUGAGCAGCCUCGAGAACGGCCUGUUCCAUGUGAAGACACCAUCGAAGGAGGAACCUAUCCCCAUCAUGAAAUACAGCUUCCUGCCCAAGCACUCACCUCUCCCCCUGAGGUUGCGUCUUGUAAAGCGCCACAGUGGUACAUUGCUCUCACUGAUGAUACACUAUGCGUCGAACCCGAUGUUGCCGCGGCCACUGAGCAAUGUUACAUUCAUUGUUAAGCUUCCUGUGGAUCCAACUCUGCUUAAUGUUUCGCCCAAGGCUGUGUUGAACCGGGCUGAGAGGGAACUCAGGUGGCACAUCUCAGACAUUCCUCUGAAAGGCCCCGCUGGACGGUUGAGAGCACGGAUGCCUGUGGAUCAAGACUCUAAAGAUGGCGAACUGGAGGUUGUUGGAAUGGUGAAGUUUGCUUACCAAGGGCCAUUCACUUUGUCGGGCAUCAAGCUCUGCCCAGCCAUCAAUAGCACUGCCCAAUUUAACGAAGUUGGCCACACUUUCUCCAGCGGGAGCUACCGUUGCAUCUGAGUUGGUACCUUCUUUGUACUGUAGCUGUUUACUUUACCCCCUUUUCAGUUUGCUUCUACAACAGGGUGUGAAAUUCAUAUUUGUACGUAUAUGUUUUGUGAGGCUGGAAUUUAAACCAUGUUUUCGAGUUGUGAUUAUUCAUCAAGGCUGCACAAUCUUUUGCAAGUUUCAUAGUACUGCUCAAUGCUCAUUAUGGAUGAACUGACCUUUAGUAAUUCAUUCACUAUUGAAAGCUGUCAUUACCUUUUCAGUCUAGUUUUCUAGAAUAAGGAGAGGAUCUCCCCUGGCCUCUACACAAUCUUUUGCAAGUUGGCAUUGAAAAUGAUUUGUUUGCUUUCAAGUUGAAACUUGCAAAUUUGGUGCCGAGAUGUUUAAUGUAUAUCCCUUUUCUCAUUACCUUCCAACUGCACAAUACAUAUUUGGUUUUUUACUUCCUGUUGAUAGGUGAACUGAAUUGUUCACGGAGAAUCUGGUUAUGGUAUUUUAUUAUACAGAUUCAAACAUAGUUUCUGUUCUUUAACCAAAAGAGUGAUGGAGUAAUUGCUCGCAGGUGAUUGCUUUGCCCCUUGUGUUCCUUUGAUGCACCAUUGACCUUUUUAUUCUUUUAUGACACACAGGUUACUCUUUUCAUCCUCUACAUAGGUUGUCCUAUAAGGAUAGCACAUUUCUGUAAGACAUUAGACAUCCACAUCUAUGCUGGGAAAAGAUUCAAGUCAAGUAAACACUUUAUUUCUGGAAACACGGUAAUCAGGAUGGUUGAACUCGAAUCCAUUUUUCGCUCAUAGGGAUCUCCAAGGGUAUGAAUCUGACAAAUCCCCUGUCUUUGGGUAGUGGUUUUGCCCCUGGGUUCAAAAAGCAUGGAAAGGGGAAAACACUUACAUAGCUGCAAAGGGAAGAGAUCAAUCUAUACAAAAACAUUCCUUUUCAAAAUUUUAGUUCAUCAAUUCUGUAUCGUGUCAGUAUGAUGCCUGGUUUUCUAGGCUCCCUUGCAUGAUUGACAUUAAGCAACGAUGAUGUGCUUAUCUUACAUACAGUAUGCUGAAAAUAAAAUUUACCAAUUCAGUGGUGCCAACUCUAAUACUCCUAUUGCUCUGGCGGGCUGCUAUGCUGUUGGUAAUAUUUAGCAGAAUCAAUUAGGAAUUGUCCUCUGUUAGAUAUCUGUUUUGUGCAGUUUAAACUUGCAAGGUUCUUUUUUUUUUAAUCAUGAAGUACACACCAUGCUCUCCAAAUUUCAGGAAUUUCUAUCUUGGAUGCCCACAUUAUUCGGGUUAAUUCAUCUCUAUUGCUGUAUGGGUUCCUUCCUGGUUCAUAGGUUCCGUUUAGCUGAAAUCUUAUACUGCACGUGUGUUAGCUGAAUGCCAGCUCAUAAUAUUGAUUUCCUGUAAUUCUCACCUGCAAUUAUUCUUCAGUUUUCGUUAUGCACAAGUGCCAAUUUUUUAUAGUUAAAAAUAUGGCAGCAUAUCUGAUGAAUGUUUGCAAGUCUUUAAUAACUAGGAAAUUGCGACAUCCAAUUUUGACGUAUCUACAUUUUUGGUGAUUUUUGAAGUUUCGACGUGUGUAUUCCCAUCAUACUCUUUAUUCUUUUUUCCUGUAAUGUUUGUAGAAAGAGACUGGUAUGGAUGCAAACUAUAACUUGAGUCUAGGGCAAAUAAAUCCUCUCUCUAAGGCAUUCUUUACCUUUACUUUGGCCGUAGCAAGUAGGAGUAGUAUACAUAUCUGUAGUGUCUUGAGCGUGUGUAGAUAGAUUGUAUUUUGUUCCUUCCAUGGUUUGUAUUUAUAUAUACAGUACAUGAAUUGAAACUGUGCUGUAUUCUUCCAGCUUACACUAAUUGCGUAGCUUUAUGUUAUACUCCCUCCAUCCCAAAAUAAGUGUCACAGACUUGAUCCAACUUUGUACUAAAGUUGUACUGAAUCUGCGACAGUUAUCUUGGGACGGAGGGAGUAUCUGUCAAGUGUCACUUCGUCGCACUUUUUCCUGUUGCUGGAGGGUAACUGCAUUGUCAAUGAUAUUCUUGUAUUGAUGGUAGUGUCGAAACUCGGAAGGUAGAGUGUAUUCCAGCAAGGUAUGAAUCAACUGAAUGGGUAAAAAAAAAACACAAGCCAUGCUCAGAGAUGGGCAAGGCUACUGUCCGUAUGAAUGAAGCACCUAAAUACAAGAGGAUGGCAUCAUGGAAAAAGAUGAAAUUGGACACAUCCAGCAACCCGACAACAGAAGCCAAAUCGAUCCACAACUAUAAUCGCUCGAGGCUCUCAUGGAUGUGACGUCUUGCCCAGUCCCCACGGUCAGUACCAACUAUCAUCGAACGAAACUGCUACGUAGACGAUGCAUGUGUGCACGACACUAGGACGACGGGCAGUCCAGCCGCUGAUAUGCGCUGGAUAGUAUGCAUGGACGGCUUGAUAUGUGCUGUCGUGCACGAGUCGUCCGCACGGCGUCGUGUGUAUAGCAGCGCUGAUCAUCGAAUACAAGAUCGAACAAUAAGCUCGUGAGAACAAAGGCCGGUGGAUUGCAUGGGAACUUGAAGCAAGAACGUGGAUAUUUCAUCCAUUCAAAAUACGACUCACAAACUCAUAAGCUAGCUCUGCCCAUUUACAAUAAGCUUGUACUCAAUCAUACCAGGUUGAAUAUACAAACAUUACAAUGCUGGUGUACGAGACAUCCUCAAGUGGGCAUGGGAGCUGGAUGGCGAAUACUCGUCGCGGUCUCCAUACAAUGCAAAAUUUGUAAGAAGAGACUAGCACAAAUACCCGUGCGUUGCAACGGGAGAAAACACUGGUUCUUAUGAAUCAAAAUUUGCCAGGUCGAACACGGUCUAGUUGUGUGCUAGUGCUCCAAAUUUUCUACCAAAAACUUCCAUGUCCAGCUGCGUUGAUGUUCACACAACCACAACUGUCUGACUCCAUCGGUUGGGCUUCCAUGAAUCAGGUUACCAAAAAUGUGUGAAAAAACAAAAAAGAUAAAGGAUUUAAUUCGAAAGGAGAUAUGAAUAAGUUCGCUAUAAAAAAACACAAGUGUCCUCCUGUAACUGGUCACUUGAUCAAGAUUACGCAGGUGGUAAUAAUGUUAACAUUGAUCCUAGACCUAAAGAUGGCCAGAUGAUAAGGCCUAUUUUAAAGUUUCGCACAGGGCCUCCGAUUUUGCCGGCUCGGCCCUGAUCAGUAGUACACUCAGUUCGACUAUAACUAGCCAAACGAUCUGCUAGCUUAAAUUUUCUAUGGAAUAAACUCCCUAUAAAUUAUUAAAAACUUUAUCUCAACAAUUAGAUGACCAUACACAGAACGAUCCAGAUUAUUGCCCUUGAAAGAUGCCAAUGCUGUCUAGGACAAUGAUUGGGCCUUUGGAGUUCUACUUGGCUAGUGUCAUACCUUGCAUCAAAGCAUUAAUCUCAGCCUCCAAAGCAUCAUUAUAAUUAAAUAAGGACCAGUAUGCCAUGAAAAUAACACUCCCAUCCUGAUUUCACGUAACAAGUGCAUGGAACGAGGUCUCUACUUCGAUGGCGCACAUCGGACAGGAGCUGCACGUCAGCAGGUGUACAUAGGAUUUGCAUUGAUUCGUUGCCAGCACCCUUGAAACAGUUUUCCACGCCAUAAUUUUUAUUUUUUGUGGUACCGAUAGGCGUCUAUGGUUCGUUCUCUACCACGCAGUUGCUAGCUACUACUAGCAUGGUUUCACUCCUAAGAAUCUUCCGAUAGGCGUCUAUGGUUCGUCGAUCCUUCUUUAUGAUUUAUUACAAUGGAUAUGGAUGCACACGCUGUCGCACAUGUGUUCACAGUCAUGACACCACAGUGAGAACUAAGCAUGUGACACAUGCUCCCAACAUGCCUGUUGUGGCACAUUUUUUUCGAUAACCAACCAACCAAAUAGUCACAGGGCACGGCUUAGACACUCAAGAAAAUCAGGUGGUUAUAGAUCCAUACCAAUGGCUGUGGGCAUACUCUGGUCAUGUAAACGUUUGUACUUAGGGCUUCUUUUCUCCGGUUUUGAAACUGUGGUUGUACUCUGGUCAUGUAAACAUUUGUACUUUUGGGUUAUUUCCCUGGCUUUUGAUUUUCCUUUAAUAUAACACAUGCAGCCACCUUUAAGAAAAACAAAUUCCUGCCAGCUUGAUUGAUUGUUGGGUGUUGACAGCCACAGAGAUAAAAAUAGGGGAAGUGCCCCUCUGUGUGCGCAUAAAACUGGUUCUAUUUUAGACGAGCUGUUUAACAUAUUUUGACAAAACCUUGCAUUUAGAGCAUCUCCAGCCGCGUCCCCAAUAGGCCUUCCCAGGCCAUUUUUUCGGCGCCAGCGUCAAAAAAACGCCCCAGUCGCGCCCCCAGGACGACGAAAAGCGCCGGUUCGGCCUUUUUUCGCUAGGCGGCGGCAGGCCGAACCCGACGCACUGGGGGGCGAUCGGGGGCUCCGGCGCAAGGGAAAAGCGCGGCUGGCCCACACCGUCAGGCGAAAAGUCAAGAUUUUCUUUCCCGACCCGCCUUCCACCCCCCGCGCCCUCGGCCGCCACUAGCUAUAUCCCGGCGCCGCCCGCCGCCCUUCACCGCUAGAUAGCCAUUCCCCGUCGGAUAAAUAGCAUAGGUUCGCUGCGGCAGCCCAUCCAACAACAGCUGGGCGUCGGCGUGUGCACGCCCACCGGGCGCAAGGUGUUCGGCGAUUUGCCUGCCUCGGCGAUGGACUCGGAUGACGAGGAAGCGCUCGCCGCGCUGCUGGAGGAGGAAGCCGAGGCCGACGUCCAGGAAGAAGAGCAUCUGAUGGUGCUCGCCGCCCUCGCCCAGCUGCUGGCGAGCAAUGAAAAGCCACGGCGAGGUGGCUCGGCGCCGGGGCGGGUGAAAGCAAAAAACCGGCAUCGUCUCGAAGGCUACUGCAUGCUCUACUCCGACUACUUCGCCGAUGCUCCACUUCACGACGAUAAGACAUUUCGGCGCCGUUAUCGGAUGAGCCGAAAGCUCUUCCUCGGGAUUGUGAAUUCCAUCCGGGAGUUCGACAACUACUUCAAGUGCAAGAUGGAUUGCACCGGCAAACUUGGAUUCACCUCGAUCCAGAAGUGCACGACAGCGAUGAGGAUGCUUGCAUACGGAGCUCCCGGUGAUUCACUGGACGACUAUGGGCGCAUGGCCGAGUCCACCAGCAUGGAGUGUUUCUACAAGUUCUGUCGGGCAGUGGUGGCAGCGUUUGGACCGCAAUACUUAAGAACACCCAAUGCGGAAGACACUGCUCGGAUCCUAGCAUAGAAUGAAGCAAGAGGAUUUCCUAGGAUGCUUGGAAGUAUCGACUGCAUGCAUUGGAAAUGGAAGAAUUUCCCAUUUGCUUGACAGGGGAUGUACAAAAGCGCCAAAGGCGGUUGCAGUGUGGUACUUGAGGCUGUGGCCACACAGGACCUCUGGAUUUGGCACUCCUUCUUUGGUAUGCCAGGAACUCACAAUGACAUCAACGUGUUGCAGUGCUCUCCUGUCUUUGCCAAGCUUGUUGAAGGUCAUUCUCCUCCGGUGAACUUCGAGAUCAAUGGGCAACACUACAACAUGGGCUACUAUCUAGCUGAUGGCAUCUAUCCGAGAUGGUCGACAUUUGUGAAGACGAUCUCAAACCUUGUGCCAGGAGGCAAGAAUGCCUGAUUUGCGAAGGUUCAGGAGGCUUGCAGGAAGGAUGUCGAGCGGGCAUUUGGUGUGCUCCAAUCUCGAUUUGCUGUUGUCCGGUACACCGCUCAGAGCUGAUCGAAAGAUCAAAUAUGGGAGAUUAUGACUUGCUGUGUCAUCUUGCACAAUAUGAUCAUCAAGAGCGAGUAAGAAGACCCAGUGUUUGACACUGAACCAUACUACAGGCAGGGUCCUCUAGGCGAAGUUGAUCACCAGCUACCGGCAACCUGGACUGCCUAUCUCAGUAUGCGUCAAGAGAUCCGAGACCCACAGAUGCAUCAUCAACUGCAUCAAGAUCUGAUAGAGCACCUAUGGAGGCUCAAGGGCGACGCCGGGCGCGAUGUGUGAUGAAAUAUGAGUUUUUAUUUGUUGAACUAUAUAAUUUGUAUUGAACUAUUUGUUAUUGUACUAUUUUGUUGAAGUAUUUGAUUUUUCUGUGAUGAAGUAUGUGAUAAAAAAAAUUUAUAUUGAUAAUUGAACGCUGAGCAACAACGAACCACGCCGAAUAUGGGUCUAUUGUCGCCCAUAUGGGCCCUUUAUUCCCCGAAAUAUGGCUGAAAAGUGGGCCAAUAUCGGCGCCUGGGGGUGACGACUGGACGCAAAAUCGCCUCACAGCCGAUUGUAUCGCCGGCUCGCCUCCAAGAAGCGAUUUUUAUGCGUCCUAGGGGGCCAACGGCUGGAGAUGCUGUUAUCAACUGAAAUGUGGGAGGUAUAUGAAUGAUUCUCUUGGUCGGCGUGGUCCUGCAGAUAGGCUAUGUGGUGCCUGCCGCCGGCAGGAUGUUGGCCGGCAAAGUGGCUGUUGGCGGCGGGUUUGACUUGGAUAACUUGGAGGGGGGCGUCCAGGUGAAAGCCGGGACCUUCGCGGUCGAGGCGGAGGUGGACAUGACCGCCGGCGUCCUCAGCGCGCAGGUGACCGUCGGCCUCGGCAGACAGCCGUGAGGCUGAUCAGCUCUAGCUCAUCGAUUCCCCAAUGGCAUGCAUGCGUUCCUCGCCGUUGUCAGUGUUGGUUCCUUGCUACUCCCUUUAUUCCAAAAUAUAGUGCGAUCGCGCUUCCCAAGAUCCAACUUUGACCAUAAAUUUAACUAACGAGACCGACUGCUGCGGGAGAAAAAAUUAUAUAAUUGAAAACUUCUUUCAAAUACGAAUUCACUGAUAUAAUUUUUGCUCCCGCCGCAAUCGGUCUUGGUAGUUAAAUUUACGGUCAAAGUUGAAACACGUGGAUAGAGGAAACACUACAUUGUGGAACGGAGGGAGUAUUGUUUUGCGCGCGUGUCCGAUUUCAAUUUAUAUCCAGCUGGUUUCGCUACGUUUCUUGUCCGCACGGCUUAAUAAACAAAAUGUACUUUUAUUUAACUUAUUUACCAGCAAAGUGGGCUGCUCAAUGCGCGGAAUAGAAUUCAUAUUUUUAGCAAUAUGACCAUAUACUUGGAUUGUUUGAAGAAAAACUGGGAAUUGCGCAUGACGUACCAAUUGUACUUUUCAUGAUCAGUCGUCUUGUUCAAAUUAUAUUCUCAAGUAGUAGAUCCCAACCAUGCUCACAUUCGUCCCACAACUCCUCGUCUUCGUAAUGGUUCGACCGUGAUUCGUCGUCGAUUCUCAAUCAAACAGGCACGUCCACGACCUGUUAAAACCAUCGAACCAUCCACGCAUCAUCCGUGAAGAAAAGAACAGGUCGCUAAUCCCACAAACCCACCACGAAUGCAUCUUUUAUCGAAAUCACUAAUUGAGAAGUAUUUCUUGCAAAGAUCACUCUUGCCUUCUUAGUGUUGGAAAUAUGAGCAAUUUACCGAAUGAUUUUAUUAACAGAAAUACUAGAUAAAGCAUGACUAGUAUGACAGUGAUAAAAUAAGUCAUGCAAUUUAUAUAAGAGAAGGUAAACAAUAUCUUUAUAUAUGAACCGUGACUAAACACAUCUAGAGCAGACAGUAUAGCAAGUUGCAUAUAUAAAAUAGAUUCUAAUAUAUUUAGGUCAAACACUAGAACAAGGAACUGUAACAGGACCUUUAAUAGAAAGAGGAAGACCACGUACGGGACAGCAGCAGCAGAAGCGCAGUCGCGCGAAGCGCUCCCCAAAAACCUUAUCUCCCUUCUUCCGUACAGGACUCAAAAGGUGCGACCUCUCUUAAAUAGACACAGGAGAAGGAGGCGAACAGGGCGAACAGGCUGCGACGGGAGGUGAAGCAACAGAGGAAGACGAAGCGAACAGACUCGUCGCGUCGCGUCGCGUCGUGGCGAGGCGUGGCGUGGCGUGGCGAGGCACGCGGAGGAGGAGAAGCGCGCGUGGAUGUCCCUCUUGUUCUCAUGCUCAUACAAGUGGGGAAAGAACCUCCCUUAUAAAGAGGUCCAACUCCCUCUAAACUAGCAAUGUGAGACUAAACUUUAGUUCCACCUCUUGCCUUGCACGAAUGGGCUGCGUGAGCCUUUAGGAUUUAUUAGAAAUUUCUGAAACUACUAUUGGGCUAGGCCCAAAAUAGACAAAAUUUCAGGAAUCCCCCACCAGAUCCCAGAGACACACAUAAUUUGCCUUUGGUUCCAAAACACUGUUUUAUAUACCGGUACUGCAGUGAAGACUGUUAAGUUGAACUUUCACCUAGAACUCUAUGCUACACUAGUAAGCAACUUAAACAAUAGACUGGGCCUUGAACUGCAAAUUUUCUGCGAAUCUACCUUCACAUAAAGCCUUGACCGAUACUAGGCUACCGUGGGUCUUCCCCGCGGGUGGAGCUUAUGCGUCAUACUCCGUGACCUUUCAUGAGUUUACUUGAGAGAACCCUACUCUCAUAGAUUGUGACGUUUGACAAUCAGACUCAUAUAGGUGUGUCCUUCAAAAGAUAUUCUGCAGGACAACAUGUCUGCUUAAAUGAGUCACUUAGAACACAUUAAGAUAUACAUCAACCUGCCAUGCAGAUUAGGAGAGUAUUGCAUCGUCAUGGAGUGGUAUUUUUAAUAGUAAGGAUACUCUCCUCUCAGUUGAUCAACAUCUUAUCUUCCACAUCUAAUUCACGGGAUCUCCAAUCACAAAUAAUAUGUUACCACUGUGAACAACUCAUAUUGUGGGUCUCAUACCCAUCUCCCUCGACGCAUUAUCUAUCACAUUACGUGAUAAACUCUUAUUAAAAGGAUCUACCAGUUUUUUUAGAAGUUUGGAUAUAAUCCAAUGCAAUAACUCCGGAGUUUCUUAUUUUCCUGACAGACUUUAACCUUCUCUGAACGUGUCUUGAUGACUUUAUGUUAUCCUUUGAGCUGCUCAUUUUCGUGAUCACAUUUUGAUUGUCGCAGUUCAUAUCGAUACCCGGUACAAGUUUCUCAACAAUCGGCAAGUCAUUCAAGAGCCGGCGAAGCCAAUCUACUUCGACCGUAGCUGUAUCUAGUGCUGUGAGUUCUGCUUCCAUUGUUGACCUCGUUAAGAUGGCCUGCUUGCAAGACUUCUAAGAAACAGCGCCACCUCCAUGAGUGAAUACAUAACCGCUCGUGGCCCUUAUCUCAUCAGCAUCUGAGAUCCAGUUUGAGUCAUUAUACCCUUCAAGCACCUUUGGGUGCCCGAUGUAGUGAAUUUCAUAAUUCGCAGUGCCUUUCAAAUAACGCAAAACUCUCUCUAGAGCUUUCCAAUGCACAUCUCCUGGUUUUGAGACAAACCGACUCAGUUUGCUAACAGCAAAAGAGAUGUUAGGUCUUGUAAUACUGGCUAAGUACAUAAGUGAGCCAAUAAUCUGAGAAUAUUUCAAUUGAUCUCUAGCAAUUCUUCGAUUCUUUCGAAGUAACACACUCGCAUCAUAUGGUGUUGGAGAGGGCUUGCAGUCACUAUAGCCAAAACGACUCAAGAUCUUUUCCACAUAGUGAGAUUAAAGCAAUGUAAUCUCACCAUCACCGUCUCUCAACAACUUGAUGUUUAGAAUGACAUUAGCUACUCCUAAAUUCUUCAUCUCGAAACAACGAGAUAGGAAAUCCUUGACCUCCUUAAUAACAUCCAUAUUUGUUCUGAAAAUCAGUAUGUCAUCAACAUAUAAGCAAAGAAUAACUCCUUCGCCCCCACCAUGGCGAUAGUACACACAUUUGUCAGCUUCGUUUACAACUAUAUCUGGCCAUGGGCCGGGCCUAAAAAAGUCCAUGGCAGAAGACUGAGGCCCAGGCCCUCCCAGGCCCUACUUUUCAAGCCCAAGCCCGGCCCAUCUGGUAAAAAGCCCUGAAAAGCCCUUAGGGCUUAGGGUCGUGGGCUGGGCCUCUUCCUUAAAAUGUCAAUAUGCUAAGCCCAAGCCUGCCUAGGCCCUGCUAUGGGCUCAAAACUCAGGCCCAAGCCCGGCCCACGGUCAAGCCCAUCGAGCCUAGGCCCUGGAUUUUAGGGUCGGGCCUGGGUGGGCCGACAGGGCCGGGCCUGAGAUGGCUAGGACUAUUUACAACAAAGCCUGCAGCUGAUAAAGUUCUUUCAAACUUCUCAUGCCACUGUUUAGGUGCUUGCUUGAGUCUAUACAAAGACUUCAGCAACUUGCACACUUUUCCUUCCUGACCAUCUAGUACAAACCCAUCUGGUUGUUCCAUAUAGAUUUCCUCGUCCAACUCUCCAUUUAGGAAAGCAGUCUUAACAUCCAUUUGAUGAACGAGAAGACCAUGUGAGGCAGCUAGUGAAAGUAGAACUCGAAUAGUGGUCAGUCGAGCCACAUGUGAGUAAGUAUCAAAAAAGUCUUCACCUUCCUUUUGAGUAUAACCCUUAGCCACAAGCCCUUGUACUUUUCAAUAGUACCAUCAGGUCUAAGCUUCUUCUUGAAUACCCAUUUGCAUUCUAUAGGUUUGCACCCAUAAGGACGAUCAGUUAUCUCCCAAGUUUCAUUCGUCAAGAUGAACUCCAUCUCACUAUGAACUGCUUCCUUCCAAUAAUGAGCAUCUUCAGAUGCAUAUGCCUCUGAAAUAGAACUGAGAGUGUUAUCUAUGAGAUACACAAGACAAUCAUCACCAAAGGACUUUGCAGUCCUCUGUCUCUUGCUCCUAGUAGGAACUUCAUUGUUCUCCUCCACAUGAUAGACAAGAUUCCAGCACUUAGGUUGUGACAAGUGACGCGCUGCAUGUGCAUCAUUUGUCACAACCUGAGAAUUUUUCCUUUUUUAUAGAUAUGUUUAUUCAAAACAUUUUAUCUUUUAACCAUGCAUCCAAAUCUUGAACUGUUUUUACCGUUGAAUUCCUCACGUCGAGAUCUUCAAAACUAGAUCCCGUGUUGAUAGAUUUUAACGAAAUUUUUUUUACAAAAAAAUCAAACCGGGAGCCUGAUUUUUUUUCCUUUCCGCAAGAGCAUGACUGUCGACUGUGCCUCUCGCAGGAGCAAAACCAUGCCUCUCGUGAAAAACAAACAAAAAACGCAUUCUUUUUCCAUUUCUGAGAGGUCAUGCCACUCCCGAAAAGCAUAAUCGUGCCUCUUACGGAAGAAAAAAACAAAAACAUGUUUUUUUUUCAUUUCUAAGAGGCACGGCCAUGCCUCUCACGAAAACACAACCGUGGCUUUCGCGGAAGCAAAACCAUUUCUCUCGCGAAAGAAAAAGUUAAAAAACAUGUUUUUUAUUUUUCUGAGAGGCACGGCCGUAUCGCUCGUGGAAGGAAGAAAAAAGGAAAUACAAUUUUUUUUCGUUUUCCAAGAGGCAUGGUUUGUGUCUCUCGUAAAAGCAAAAGCCGUGCCUCUCGCGAAAAAACAUGUUUUCUAAAAAAAUCUUUUCAAAAUUUUUGUUUGAUCCAAAAGCUAAGGAAGACCAGUGGAAAAUCAAAAGGACAAAAAAUUCAGAACAAAACCGUUUAAAACCCAAAAACAUGUGUGAAAAAAUAAAAAUAAAAAUAAAAUUCGAAGGGAGAGCCGGCCCACCCGCAAGUGAUCGCUGCGAGGCUCCGGAAAGAGCGCUCUUCAACUAGUUGUUCUCACUUUCUCCCCCUCCCCACUAAACCUGGCAUUCAUCAGGCCAGGCCUGGUUUCAGGCCGGGCUUGUCAAAGCCCAACAACAGAUUUGCCAGCCCGAGCCCGGCCGAAAGGCCCCACACAUCUUUUUGUUACGGGAUCCACCAGGUCAUCCCGUGGUACUGAAGGCCCAGCCCAGCUGGAACGGCCCAGGAGGGAGGCAAGGCCCAACCCGUGAGCCCAGCUGGAACGGCUCAGUGAGUAGAUACACUCUGGUGAGCUGCAACAAAUAAAGCUGUAUUUAAAUCUCAAGCUCGAUUUGAUACUAUCGUAAUUUCGUACUACUAUGUCUUUUCUGGUUCUCAAGCUCGAAUUUAAACCUAAAAUUUCUGACAAAGCACAUGGAUAUUGUAUGACUGAGGCAGAAAAAUAUAUUGUUUCCACAUGGACAACCUCCCCAUAUUUUCUCAAACAAAAUCAUAUACAUGCUAAAAAAAAUCAAAGUUCAAAUGUACAUCAGCGCCUGCUACAUGAAAGAGAGAUGGCAAAGACAACUCAUCGCAAAAGAGAGCAAGCACCCAUGUCACAACAACUAUUCAAGGUCACACAGAUCCAGAAACACAGGACACAGCUCAUAUAGAAACACGAAGAACACGCCGAGGCCCCGGUAGAGGAAGGCCCCCACAUGUACAA
RNAcentral lists this long non-coding RNA (38054 nucleotides) under Triticum aestivum (bread wheat). Its description in RNAcentral is "long non-coding RNA (TAES_LNC019944)". The record is from RNAcentral. Lineage: Eukaryota; Viridiplantae; Streptophyta; Magnoliopsida; Poales; Poaceae.